RNAcentral lists this ribosomal RNA (328 nucleotides) under uncultured bacterium. RNAcentral describes it as "bacterial SSU rRNA". It matches the Rfam family "Bacterial small subunit ribosomal RNA", at positions 470 to 793 of the family's 1533-position model. The record is from RNAcentral.
GUACGUAGUCGACAGAAGAAGCACCGGCUAACUCCGUGCCAGCAGCCGCGGUAAUACGGAGGGUGCGAGCGUUAAUCGGAAUUACUGGGCGUAAAGCGCAUGCAGGCGGCCUGUUAAGUCAGAUGUGAAAGCCCGGGGCGUUAACCUCGGAAUUGCAUUUGAAACUGGCAGGCUAGAGUCUUGUAGAGGGGGGUAGGAAUUUCAGGUGUAGCGGUGAAAUAGCGUAGAGAUCUGAAGGAAUACCAGUGGCGAAGGCGGCCCCCUCGGACAAAGACUGACGCUCAGAUGCGAAAGCGUGGGGAGCAAACAGGAUUAGAUACCCUGGUAG